This 110-nucleotide ribosomal RNA is filed under the name Pteropus alecto (black flying fox). The record is from RNAcentral. Lineage: Eukaryota; Metazoa; Chordata; Mammalia; Chiroptera; Pteropodidae.
GUCUAUGGCCACGCCACCCUGAACAUGCCCGAUCUCGUGAAGCUAAGCAGGGUCAGGCCUGGUUAGUGCUUGGAUGGGAGACCGCCCAAGAAGACCAGAUGCUGUAGGCA